UUGGUUGGUGCCGCCCAGCCCAGGCCCCUUUUAAACUUGAUCUCCGCUGUGCCCUCCCCUUUCGGCUGCGGCGCGUGACUGGGCUUGGUGGAGUUUCAAGAUGCUGAUGAACUUAAGGUCUGGUGCUUGAAAGAAUCAGUGAAGCUUUUCAAGUAGAGGAGGAUUAUGCCACCAUGACUAGAAGACCCCCUAAUGGAGUUUAUCUGCACUGCAAGGGGCCAGUUGUCUCAGAAUCAUCCUCCGUUGACAUCUCCAUCUCCAGGACAGCUCCACACCAAUCUGUUUCAAAGACAAAGACAAAAUCUGGUCUAAUCAGUUUGAUGUAUGUUUCUGGGAACAGAGCCGAAUGUUGUAGCUGAUGGAAUGGAGUCUCAUACCAUUGAUUUUGCAGCUGGACAAGUGCCCUGCAUUGUUACAGCUGAUGGAAUGGAGUCUCAUACUAUUGAUUUUGCAGCUGGACAAGUGCCCUGCCAUGUUACUGCCACUCUUUAAGGCAGAAUAGAGCAUAUUGAGUCAUUUAUAGGCCUCUCACAGUGAGAAAUAUGUGGAACUUUGGAAAUCAGAAUCUAAAACUGCAGUCCAAUGGGGUAGCCACUAUUCACAUGUGCUAUUGAGUACCUAAAAUUUGGCUAGACCAAGUUGACAUGUGCUGAAGGGUGAAAAACAUCAGGAGUGAAGAAUUAACUUGAAAAAAAUGUAAACUAUCUCAAUAUUAUAUUGAUUACAAAUUAAAUGAUGUUUUGAAUAUAUUGAGUUAAAUGAAAUACAUUUUUUAAUGAUACAUGAUGUGUAUUAUAUUUCUGUUGGACAGUACUGGUCUAAAACAGUUGAUUCACCAUCCAGUAGAGAGAAAGAUAUUGCUGUUUUACCAUAUAUGACCUUCAGGGAAAAGAAGAAUAAAAUCAGCACUUGAAAAUGCAAAAUUUACAGAUAAGCAGCUAUUUUUUGAAGGGCAGAAGGUGAAGGGGUAGUCAGCACUACUUAGAAGAUUUGACAUAAAUUCUACACUCAAGCUGCUAGUACUUCUGGAGAUUUUAAAUGAAAGACUUCAGAGCGUAUUUAGUAAACACCCUGUUAUGCCCACUCUACAAGCAUCUGUGUGUUCAUUAAUCAAGAGCAGGCCAGGUGCAGUGGUUCACACAGUGGCUCCCACACAGCACUUUGGUAGGCCAAGGCGGGCAGGUUGCUUGAACUCAGGAGUUUCAGACCAGCCUGGGCAACAUGGCAAGACCCCAUCUAUAAAUAAAUGUAAAAAAAAAAAAUUUUUUUUUUUUUUUUUUUUUUUUUUUUUUUUUUUUUUUUUUUUUGAGAUAGAGUCUUGCUCUGUCGCCCAGGCUGGAGUGCAGGGGUGGUCUCGGCUCACUGCAACCUCCACCUCCUGGGUCCAAGCAAUUUUCCUGCCUCAGCCUCCUGAUAGCUGGGAUUACAGACGUGUGCCACCAUGUCUGGCUAAUUUUUGUACUUUUAGUAGAGACAGGGUUUCACCAUGUUGGCCAGACUGGUCUCAAACUCCUGACCUCAAGUGAUCCACCCACCUCAGCCUCCCAAGGUGCUGGGAUUACAGGUAUAAGCCACCAUGCCUGACCCCAAAUUUUUUUAGUUAAGAAAAAAAUCAAGAGCAAAAGGACUUGGUAUGCUACAUCUCAUCAAAAUGCAACUUCCUUAAUGAAGAACCAUAUGAAGGAUAGUUCUAGUUUCUUUUUUUGAGACGGAGUCUCACUCUGUCGCCCAGGCUGGAGUGCAGUGGCGCAAUCUCGGCUCACUGCAAGCUGCACCUCCUGGGUUCACGCCAUUCUCCUGCCUCAGCCUCCCGAGUAGCUGGGACUACAGGCACCUGCCUCCACGCCCGGCUAACUUUUUGUAUUUUUAGUAGAGACAGGGUUUCACCAUGUUAGCCAGGAUGGUCUCGAUCUCCUGACCUCGUGAUCUGCCCGCCUCGGCAUCCCAAAGUGCUGGGAUUACAGGCGUGAGCCACCGCACCUGGCCAGUUCUAGUUUCUUGAUCCCUGAUCUAGUUUGUGUGUGUGUGUGUGUGUGUGUGUGUGUACUAAAGUGUCUUUCAGAGUUUUGGUUUUUUGAUAUAUUUUUUUUUAAUGGAAGGGGAGAGAUUGUGGGCAGUGGCACCAUAAAUAUUACCUUGUAUAAAGCACUCUUUUUAAAAAUUACCUUAUGUUAAGCAAAAUGUUCCGUAAAAUUCUCCUUUUCCUGUCUUCACUGUGUGCUCUAAAAAACAGGUCUGUGUAAAUUCUUUUGUAGUUUCCUUGCUACUAAUAAUGACAUUUUGUCUUUUUGUGUUUAA
Long non-coding RNA from Symphalangus syndactylus (siamang), 2298 nucleotides. RefSeq lists it as uncharacterized. The record is from RefSeq and is a predicted model, not a curated record. NCBI's taxonomy places the organism in Eukaryota, Metazoa, Chordata, Mammalia, Primates, Hylobatidae.